UAAAAGCCACCAAAGAAUGAAA
This 22-nucleotide non-coding RNA is filed under the name Rattus norvegicus (Norway rat). Lineage: Eukaryota; Metazoa; Chordata; Mammalia; Rodentia; Muridae. The record is from RNAcentral.